UUUGGCUACUCCGUCCUUAAUACAUUUGGUUCCGGAUAUUGGAUGCUUGAUAUAGAAAUGGAUUGUUCCGAAACUGAUUCUGGUUGGUUCCAGUUUAAGACAUACAUUACACCUACCAGUGGCUGGGAGCCUGAUAUAGGUCAAACACAAGCUUGUGGAGGUGAUGUAGGCGGGCGACGACCAUUUCUAACAAAUAAUCACCAGGCCAGGUGCGGAAAGUUGAAUUUAUUUUAUUACGCAAGUGCCGGUUGUAUUAUUAAUAACAUUCCGACAUCAUUACCAACAACAACACCUACUCCAGAAGAAUGUGGCAUUAAGCAUGUUUCUCAAUCAAGAAUAGUCAAUGGUCAUCCUGCUGCUGAAGGGGUGUGGCCCUGGAUGACAGAAGUUCUAUAUCAGGACAAUCAUGGAUGUGGAGCCGUUUUGAUAUCUUCUACCUGGGCGAUAACAGCUGGCCAUUGUGUACGCACGGCCAAGACAUACGGACCAUGGGCUACGAUACUUAGAACUAGUGAAACCAACAGACACAUUAUCAAUGGAAGGGAGCGGGAUUAUUUUGUCAAAAAUAUAAUAAAACAUCCUUUAUUUGAUAAAGCAGGAGCUGGGUUGGUUAACAAUGAUCACGAUAUUGCUCUAUUAGAAUUAGUUGCUCCGGUUGAAAUAAAAAAGAAUGAUGUAACAGCUGCCUGUCUUCCUAUUACACUUCCAAUAGAUGAAUUUGUUGAUAAAGAAUGUUGGAUCACUGGAUGG
This is a long non-coding RNA of Patella vulgata (common limpet), 750 nucleotides long. RefSeq lists it as uncharacterized. NCBI's taxonomy places the organism in Eukaryota, Metazoa, Mollusca, Gastropoda, Patellidae. The transcript is spliced from 5 exons. The record is from RefSeq and is a predicted model, not a curated record.